AGAAUCAACGCUGGCGGCGUGCCUAAUACAUGCAAGUCGAACGCGAAAGUGGAGCAAUCCAUGAGUAGAGUGGCAAACGGGUGAGUAACACGUGGGUGACCUGCCUUAGAGUGGGGGAUAACGUCCCGAAAGGGACGCUAAUACCGCAUAACAUCCCGCCUUUUAAGAGGUGGAGAUCAAAGCCGGGGAUCGCAAGACCUGGCGCUUUUAGAGGGGCCCGCGCCUGAUUAGCUAGUUGGUGAGGUAAUGGCUCACCAAGGCAACGAUCAGUA
This 272-nucleotide ribosomal RNA is filed under the name uncultured bacterium. RNAcentral describes it as "partial small subunit ribosomal RNA". It matches the Rfam family "Bacterial small subunit ribosomal RNA", at positions 26 to 285 of the family's 1533-position model. The record is from RNAcentral.